ACCUGGUUGAUCCUGCCAGCGGUCAUAUGCUUUAUCCGGGGAUUCUUGCCAUGCAGGUUUAAAAACAAGACUUUAAAUGUCGAAUUUGCGAAUGGCUAAAUAGUUCAGUUACAAUCUAAGUGGUUAUGAAAUUCCUUUAGGAUACAAAUAGGAAAUCUAUUGAUAAACCAUAGUAAGAGUGGGUAAAACCACGAGUUUACGAGGACAAGAAUCAUGUGAGGUAGCAAUAUUUCACUCUGUCGAAUCAUCGUAAAAUUAUUGAAUCACGCUUUAGUGCAGUGAUGAGACACAUGAAUUUCUGAUCGAUUAGCUAUCGUUGUUUGGAUAGAGGCCAAACAAGGCUAUUAUCGGUACGAGGAAUGGAUGUUCGAUUUCGUAGAAUACGCCUGAGAGACGGCGAAUACUCUCACGAGAGGCAGCAGGCUCGUAAAUUACCCAAUUACAAUAAGUAGAGGUAGCGAAGGAAAAUAUGAGUGGUGGUAGGUUAUUGCCUAUUACAUUCUCAAAUGGAAGCAAAUUAAAUAUUUCAUAGAAAGCAAGAAGAGGAAAAGUAUCGGUGCCAGCACCCGCGGUAAUUCCAGCUCUUCUAGCGUAUAUCGAAGUUGAUGCAGUUAAAAAGCUCGUAGUCGGAGUUGUUCGGAUAGAGGAUAAAAUGACUUUGUGGAGGAAACUUCACAGGGUGACUCUUCCGAUUCAUUGGAUUAUGAAAGUGCAUUGGUUCGCCAGUGAUUACUUCUCUUCCACAUUUACUUUGAGGAAAUUAGAGUGUUUAUAGCAGUCGUCUUGACUGAAUAGUUUAGCAUGGGAUAAUAGAAUAUGGCAAUAUGUCUUUUCUAUGGUUCUUAAAGGCAAUUCAAAUUUUGCAAUGAUUAAUGGGAGUGGAUGGGGCUGCCAGUAUUGCUGAGCUAGAGGUGAAAUUCUAUGAUUUCAGCAGGACUAACAAAUGCGAAAGCAUCCAGCCAGUACAUGUCCGUCGAUCAAGAACGAAGGGAGUGGUAUCGAAGAUGAUCAGAUACCGUCGUAGUCACUCCAGUAAACGAUGAUAACUCAGGGUAAGGGGGAGGUAAAUUUAAAACUUGCACCUCUUUGAACUGUAUGAGAAAUCAAAGUAUCUAUAUUUCCGGGGGGAGUAUGGCCGCAAGACUGAAACUUAAAGGAAUUGACGGAAGGGCACCACAAGGCGUGGAACCUGCGGCUUAAUUUGACUCAACACGGGAAAACUUACCAGGUCCAGACAUAGUAAGGAUUGACAGGUUGAAAGAUCUUUCUUGAUUCUGUGGGUGGUGGUGCAUGGCCGUUCUUAGUUGGUGGAAUGAUUUGUCUGUUUAAUUACGAUAACGAACGAGAUGAUCAUGGAAAAAUAGGAUGACUAAUCGAAAGAUUGGUACACUUCCUUCUCUUCCAGAUUAAUGGAUUAAAGCCAUUUGAAAUGAUCGCAAUAACAGGUCUGUGAUGCCCUUAGAUGUUCUGGGCUGCACGCGCGUUACAAUGGUGAUGUCAAUGAGUUUUGAGUGGAUUUACUUCAUUCUUGUGCUUUCUCGAGAGGGAUGGCUAAUCUUAUAUAAACAUCACCGUGCUGGGGAUAGAUGGUUGUAAUUAUCCGUCUUGAACCAGGAAUGCCUAGUAAUCGCAUGUCAUCAGCAUGCGAUGAUUACGUCCCUGCCCUUUGUACACACCGCCCGUCGCUCCUACCGAUUGGAUUGUCCGGUGAGAAUGGAGGAUUUUGGUGUUCUAUGAGCAAUCAUGGAGCAUUGGGAGAAUCCAUUCAAAUCUUAUAAUCUAGAGGGAGGAGAAGUCGUAACAAGGUCUCCGUAGGUGAACCUGCGGAAG
RNAcentral lists this ribosomal RNA (1830 nucleotides) under Tubulinea group 04 sp. MSED2. RNAcentral's name for it is "bacterial SSU rRNA". It matches the Rfam family "Eukaryotic small subunit ribosomal RNA". Lineage: Eukaryota; Tubulinea. The record is from RNAcentral.